Molecule: ribosomal RNA, 253 nt
Filed under: uncultured bacterium
Lineage: Bacteria
Description: partial 16S ribosomal RNA
Rfam family: Bacterial small subunit ribosomal RNA
Source: RNAcentral
UACGUAGGGAGCAAGCGUUGUCCGGAAUCAUUGGGCGUAAAGCGCGCGUAGGCGGCCUCGUAAGUCCGUUGUGAAAGUCAAGGGCUCAACCUUUGAAAGCCGAUGGAUACUGUGAGGCUAGAGUCCGGAAGAGGCGAGUGGAAUUCCUGGUGUAGCGGUGGAAUGCGCAGAUAUCAGGAGGAACACCAAUAGCGAAGGCAGCUCGCUGGGACGGUACUGACGCUAAGGCGCGAAAGCGUGGGGAGCGAACAGG